RNAcentral lists this ribosomal RNA (486 nucleotides) under uncultured bacterium. RNAcentral's name for it is "partial 16S ribosomal RNA". It matches the Rfam family "Bacterial small subunit ribosomal RNA", at positions 30 to 507 of the family's 1533-position model. The record is from RNAcentral.
AUUGAACGCUGGCGGCAUGCCUUACACAUGCAAGUCGAACGGCAGCACGGGUGCUUGCACCUGGUGGCGAGGGGCGGACGGGUGAGUAAUACAUCGGAACAUGUCCUGUAGUGGGGGAUAGCCCGGCGAAAGCCGGAUUAAUACCGCAUACGGUCUACGGAUGAAAGCGGGGGACCUUCGGGCCUCGCGCUAUAGGUUUGGCAGAUGGCUGAUUAGCUAGUUGGUGGGGUAAAGGCCUACCAAGGCGACGAUCAGUAGCUGCUCUGAGAGGACGACCAGCCACACUGGGACUGAGACACGGCCCAGACUCCUACGGGAGGCAGCAGUGGGGAAUUUUGGACAAUGGGCGAAAGCCUGAUCCAGCAAUGCCGCGUGUGUGAAGAAGGACUUCGGGUUGUAAAGCAAUUUUGUCCGGAAAGAAAUAAUUGGCUCUAAUACGGUCGGGGGAUGACGGUACCGGAAGAAUAAGCACCGGCUAACUACGUG